RNAcentral lists this long non-coding RNA (1022 nucleotides) under Homo sapiens (human). Its description in RNAcentral is "long intergenic non-protein coding RNA 879". The record is from RNAcentral. Lineage: Eukaryota; Metazoa; Chordata; Mammalia; Primates; Hominidae.
AUCGUGUCCGCCAUCUUGGGGCGACGGCCAGAAGUCCAGGGCUAGGAGCCUCAGCCGGCGGACGCCAGGAAACAGCCAAGAACUGAACCAAAAUACAAACAACAUAAACUACCACUUGAUGAGAAGAACUUCAAAGUCAAAUUGCAAAAGGUGACUAAAAAAGGGGAGUACUUUCAGCCGUUUUCAAAAUAAUCUAUGAUAUGUACUGGAAAACUUCUAAUAAUCCUUGUCAUUUUACAACUUUCCCACAGUUAGAUCAUCAGCAAAUGUCACUUGGAUCCCUAGCUAAAUUGUUCUUCCCAGAAAAUAGUUAUCUCCACUAUGGAAAGUAUUUUAUCAGAAGAAUUCGUAGAAGUAGAAUCUGUUUGUCUUCAGUUAAACAAAAGAAGAACCUCAUUGCUUUCCAACUGGGCCCCGGCCAUUUUCCAGUUGAAACAUCAAAUAUUUUAUUUGUGUCUUUCACUGCCAAUUAAAGGGCAACAGAAAUGGUACAGGCUCCCUCUGCAGUGGAAUUACCCUUAUGUCUUUUCUGUCUAUGCUGAUCCACCUGAUCUUGAACUGGUGCUAUUCCAUGGGGAAAAUUGGAACAUGGGGCAAUUAACACUUUCUCCACUUUAUCCCAUCAACAGGAAAUUGAAAUAUAACCAACUAACUCAGGAGACAUCAUGGAAGAUGUCACACAGUGAAUGAUGAUGAAGCAGAAUUUUUAAAAUGUGUAGGAUUACGAGAAGUGGGGUCAUUUUUCUUUGUGUAUGGUAUUGCUGAUGCAGUUUAAUGCUCCAUUACUUCUAAAUUUUCAUCAUAAGCUAGAUUUUCCAGUUGUGGUUUCUAUAAAGAAAAACAAACAUUCUGAAGACAGUUUUUCCAGAUUUAUUCCAGAUAUCGAUGAUUAACUUUUGAAGCUCCUCUGUUGAUUUGAACAUCCGCUGAAGCUUAUUUUUCACCUCAGAAUAGCAUCAACAUUAUUUGAAAUUCAAUUGUACUUUCUCGUUACAUUAAUAAAUCAUGGAAGUUGAGAAAAU